UAGAGAAAUGCUUGACUCAUCCUUCCUCACCCUCUUGGCCUCAUUCCCAGGUCUCGCGCCCCUUUACUGACACCAGCCGGUUUUUGAAACCGGAAGAUAGAUAGUCAAAUAGAAAGAAAACAACGACUCCUCUUCACACCUCGGCAGUGGGAGUUAGUCCGAUCUUACAGAGUCCAACCAGAAUGCUCCUCCCACACGUCAGUGCGGAGAGUGAGCUCCUUGCAAGUCCUCCGAUGAUGCCACAUUAACUCCCAGUGUUCUGCGAGCAGUGCCAGCCAUGAUCCAUCUCCAGUCAGAAAACAUUCAUGGAGAUCUGUGGAGGGUGCUGGAGAAGGAAGGGGCUCUUCCAGUUUCCUCCGUCCUUGGAAAGUUGUCAGCUGGGUGAUGAUCAGAGGCCGUGUUUACUGAGAGGUCAAAGACCAAGAGGUUAAAGGACUUGUCCAGGGACCCAUAGGAAGUGAUAGAAGGAGAUUCAAAGUCAGCCUUCAGAACUACCAAGCUAAGCUGCCUCCUGUGUGUAUGCUCCAUUGGAGCUUUGACAUACCCUCUGGACUACCCCCAUCCCCCUCAUAGAGAAUUAUGAUUGCUUGCCUUAAUGACAGAUAAGUUACUGCCAGAGACUGUAACAUACAUACGCACAUGCGCACACACACAGCUCACCUCAUAGCAGGUUCAGUGUUUAUUGAAUUAAUAAAUCUGGGAAAGUAUAAGUCUGACACAUCGACUAUUUUUCCCUUCCUAGCUCAUUGCCCGUUUUCCAUCAGCUCUUUCCAGGAUUAAGUUGUACAGCAUUUCCCACUGCUUGGACAAAGACCCAUAUACAGUCUUGAAAGACGUGAACACUCUGUGGAAAAUUGUCUACAGGACACUGGGUCCUUCCCAGUACAAUGAGAAACUCUUGUUACUCCUUUGUCCACAUUGUCCUUAGGAGUCCAGUCCUGUUCCUGUGCUGUUUGGAUGCCGGGCUGACUCUUGAUUAUGAAACCAAGUCCAAGGUAACCCAUCCAUUAAAUCCACUGCUCUUCCCCCCACCCCCCCUUUUGUGGAGGAAACUGGUAAGGCUUAUGAGAGAAAACAUUAUCUUUCAUUAGAGGUGAAGCAUACAGCUGCACCUUUCUUAAUUGGAACCUGGAGAACUUGUCAACUUUGUUUGAUAUAGUCUGAUGGUGCGAUUUCUUGUUUAAACAAACAAACAACCUGGCUGGGACUGUACUUGAGAGGCUAAAAGGACAAAAUAGCUGGAGAUAUUUUGGGAAAAUCAGGUAGAACAGUAGACAAGAACGCCCUGCUUUGUUGGUCUCAAGUUGGCAAAGUCAACCAACUCUGCUUCGCAUCGUGGACUAAAAAACGGAUUAUUAAAUUAUUAUUAAA
Long non-coding RNA from Mastomys coucha (southern multimammate mouse), 1371 nucleotides. RefSeq lists it as uncharacterized. The transcript is spliced from 2 exons. The record is from RefSeq and is a predicted model, not a curated record. Lineage: Eukaryota; Metazoa; Chordata; Mammalia; Rodentia; Muridae.